RNAcentral lists this unclassified non-coding RNA (2738 nucleotides) under Hevea brasiliensis (rubber tree). The record is from RNAcentral. Lineage: Eukaryota; Viridiplantae; Streptophyta; Magnoliopsida; Malpighiales; Euphorbiaceae.
AAAUGACCUAAAAAUAGUUUACCUGGAGAGAUAUGAUAUUUUUAUACGUUAAUAGAUGGUGAUGAACAGAAAUUGGCUUGGAAAUUAAGGAUACCCAGAUGGAUAUUUCCAUUUGUUACUGUUUUUGAUGCGAUCCCAACACCAAACUCACCUUCUAUUUGGGCUUUGGUUGGUUGGUUCUUCUUUCAUUCUAAUCUUCUGUUUCUUUGUUUCUUUCUUUUGUAUAUAAAUUUUCUUUCUUUACUCUCCCAAUAUCUAGUAAUACAGUCUUUGGAGAGAAAGAAAGGGAUGGCAGCAUCUGCUGGAGGUGGUGGUGGAGGAGCAGCUCUGGAUAAAGAGGCUGGGAAGGCUCAUGUCGCCAUGGCGAUGGUGCAGCUAUUCAAUGGAGGAUAUCACGUUAUUACCAAAGUGGCUCUUAAUGAUGGGGUCAAUCAGCUCGUUUUCUGUGUCUUUCGUGACCUGCUAGCUCUCUUAAUCCUCGCCCCCGUGGCCUAUAUCCGUGAAAAAAGGAUUCGACCUCCUAUGACUAAACGCCUACUCUUGUCAUUCUUCUUCCUUGGGUUAACAGGGAUAUUUGGCAACCAGCUGUUAUUUCUUCUUGGCCUUAGCUACACAAAUCCAACUUACGCUGCUGCAAUACAGCCUUCAAUUCCUGUUUUUACUUUUGUCUUGGCUGUGAUGAUGGGUACAGAAAGAGUGAAUUUGUUAAGACUUGAAGGUCAAGUGAAGGUUGGGGGCACCCUUGUCUGUGUUUCUGGUGCAAUAUUGAUGGUUCUGUUCCGAGGUCCAGCUGUCAUUGGAUACAGUCAUGUAGGCUCUGCAGCUAGCGAAAUAAGUGCCAAGGGUCAACCAGAGCCUGUUGGAUGGUUUUUCUCUAGCUUACUAAACAUAGGACUGGAAGGUUGGCACCUUGGAGUUUUAUGCUUAAUUGGGAAUUGUAUGUGCAUGGCUGCUUUUCUGGCCAUUCAGGCUCCACUUUUUACAAAAUAUCCUGCCAGCAUUUCAAUCACUGCAUAUUCAUAUGCAUUUGGAGCUCUCUUGAUGGUACUGACAGCUUUCUUUAUGACCAAUGGAACAACAGAGUGGAGUCUGACGCAAUCUGAGCUUUGGGCAGUCAUUUAUGCUGUUCAUCAACUUUAACCUGGACCAAAAAGUUGGACAUCAGUAGCCAAUCCUCAUAGAUAAUGACUUUUUCCUCAUUCUUGUUGACAAGUGAUUUUCAUUCAAUUAUAUAGAUAAUAUGCCAUAAAAUAAUUCCCUUUCACCCUGUGGCAUACCAUCACAAAAUGAUAAAAGUGAUAAUAUCUCUCUAAACCUCUGCUUGAAAUUCUUUUUGUACAAAUAAGGUGUGCUCAAUGAAUUAUAUCCAGCACUAAAAGUUUAAUUGCAUUUUUAUCUGACAUCACUAUUUUCUCAGGGAAUUGUAAAUUCUGCUCUUAAUUAUGGACUCCUUACAUGGUCCAAUAAGAUCUUGGGGCCUGCUUUGGUUGCACUUUACAAUCCACUUCAACCUGCAGCUUCUGCCUUACUGUCAAGAAUUUUUCUUGGAAGCCCCAUUUAUUUGGGAAGGUUUUACUCUUUUCACUUGAAAAUUUUGCACGCAAUUUGUAUAUUUACUCAUAUGCGUACAUAUCCACACUUGAUGCUGUGAUAUGCAUAAUUGGUUUGUAAAUGGUCAUAUUUGUAUUUUCUCAUAAAACAUAAUUUUGUUCUUAAAAAAAAAUUUGAAUAAUCUUCUGGAAAUCUUCAAUAGCACCUGAAGCUGGUAUGAGAAAGCCUAACUCUCUGUUUUUCAUGUGGUAACAGCAUCUUGGGGGGAUGCCUCAUCGUUGCUGGUCUUUAUUUGGUAACUUGGGCGUCCUAUAGAGAAAGACAGGCAAUUGCUGGGAUUAUUCCUCAUGUUUUUUCCCGGGAUUCUGAACCACUCAUUCACAAAGAUCCAUCAGUUAACAAGGGUGCAUACCGGAGAGGACAACUGUCCCCAGGGUCCUCCUUGCCAAAAUCCACAGAUUAAGCAGGCAAACAAUGAAAUGUAGUGUAAAAUUUUGUUCUUUUUGAAAAUCCCCUUUUUUGUGAUAAGAAAAUAACUUCAUGUAUUAUGUACCCUCUGUUCAAAAAUACACAUCGCAGAGAAAGCAGUGUAGUACAUAAUAUUCUGUGCUUUUCCUUUGAUCUAACAUUCAUUCUAAGAAAUGAAUUGAAAAAGAAAAGAAAAAGGAACUAAGUUUUUAUGGCUUUAUAUCCUUUGGUGCUUUUAUGGCUUUAUAUCCUUUUGUGCAGUAGUGUGGGUAAGAGUUAUCUUGGCCGCUUGAUUAUGGCAGCUAAUUUCUGAAUUUGGUUCCCAGUGCCUGCUUAUACGCCGAAAGACGUGAUAAAUGGUGAACUUUUGAGAUAUCUCAUGCUGCCUAUAAUGGGGCUUUGCAAAAUUUUGAAAGACUUGAAUCAGGAUAGCUAGGAAGCAAAACCCAGAGAAGCUGCAAGCUAAUAGACACUCAGGAAGCAAAACCUGUGGAUGCUAAAGGAAAUUGCCCUUCUAAUAUAGCUAAUCACAAUCUGGUUCUUUGGUGUUCUGAGUUUGGUAGCAGCUUUUUGUUAGUGGUGACAAUGGCAAUCGUGGCAUAAUUUAUGUUCUUGCCAAGUCUUGCAUCAAUUCCUUUGUAAUCAUGAAAUUGCAAAACUUUUGUAAUCUUUUGUGUGUGUGUGUAUAUAUAUAUGUAUAUACCGCUCCUUAUAUAUCA